AGAAAGUGAGAUCAGGGUGACAUCACAGGCCAGUGAAAACUCUACAUCUGGCUUACACACAAUGUCUUCAUCUUCGAGAUAUGUAUGUUCAAAGCAAGUCUCCCUUUGUUAAGCUACUUCCACAUGGAUUUUGGGCCUGCAUCUUGACCACAUUUCAAUCAGAGUCAUGCACAGCACAGUGUUGAGCAGUGCAGAGGACUGAAUUGAGCUACCCAAGCAGCAGACACCUGAUUGACUGCUGUGU
Molecule: long non-coding RNA, 244 nt
Organism: Xenopus laevis (African clawed frog)
Lineage: Eukaryota; Metazoa; Chordata; Amphibia; Anura; Pipidae
Exons: 3
Source: RefSeq, a predicted model, not a curated record